GAUGAACGCUGGCGGCGUGCCUAAUACAUGCAAGUCGAGCGAACAGAUGAGGAGCUUGCUCCUCUGACGUUAGCGGCGGACGGGUGAGUAACACGUGGAUAACCUACCUAUAAGACUGGGAUAACUUCGGGAAACCGGAGCUAAUACCGGAGAAUAUAUUGAACCGCAGGGUUCAAUAGUGAAAGACGGUUUUGCUGUCACGUAUAGAGGGAUCUGAGCCGCAUUAGCUGGUUGGUAAGGUAACGGCCUACGAAGGGAACGAUGCGUAUGCGACCUGAGAGAGUGAUCGGCCACACUGGAACUUGACCACCGUCCAGACUCCUACGGGACGCAGCAGUAGGGAAUGUGCCGCAGUGGGCGAAAGCCUGACGGAGCAACGCCGCGUGAGUGAUGAAGGUCUUCGGAUCGUAAAACUCUGUUAUUAGGGAAGAACAAAUGUGUAAGUAACUAUGCACGUCUUGACGGUACCUAAUCAGAAAGCCACGGCUAACUACGUG
Molecule: ribosomal RNA, 497 nt
Filed under: uncultured bacterium
Lineage: Bacteria
Description: partial 16S ribosomal RNA
Rfam family: Bacterial small subunit ribosomal RNA
Source: RNAcentral